AAGCGGGUGAAAAGCCCGCUCGCCGGAAGACCAAGGGUUCCUGUCCAACGUUAAUCGGGGCAGGGUGAGUCGACCCCUAAGGCGAGGCCGAAAGGCGUAGUCGAUGGGAAACAGGUUAAUAUUCCUGUACUUGGUGUUACUGCGAAGGGGGGACGGAGAAGGCUAUGUUGGCCGGGCGACGGUUGUCCCGGUUUAAGCGUGUAGGCUGGUUUUCCAGGCAAAUCCGGAAAAUCAAGGCUGAGGCGUGAUGACGAGGCACUACGGUGCUGAAGCAACAAAUGCCCUGCUUCCAGGAAAAGCCUCUAAGCAUCAGGUAACAUCAAAUCGUACCCCAAACCGACACAGGUGGUCAGGUAGAGAAUACCAAGGCGCUUGAGAGAACUCGGGUGAAGGAACUAGGCAAAAUGGUGCCGUAACUUCGGGAGAAGGCACGCUGAUAUGUAGGUGAAGCGACUUGCUCGUGGAGCUGAAAUCAGUCGAAGAUACCAGCUGGCUGCAACUGUUUAUUAAAAACACAGCACUGUGCAAACACGAAAGUGGACGUAUACGGUGUGACGCCUGCCCGGUGCCGGAAGGUUAAUUGAUGGGGUCAGCGCAAGCGAAGCUCUUGAUCGAAGCCCCGGUAAACGGCGGCCGUAACUAUAACGGUCCUAAGGUAGCGAAAUUCCUUGUCGGGUAAGUUCCGACCUGCACGAAUGGCGUAAUGAUGGCCAGGCUGUCUCCACCCGAGACUCAGUGAAAUUGAACUCGCUGUGAAGAUGCAGUGUACCCGCGGCAAGACGGAAAGACCCCGUGAACCUUUACUAUAGCUUGACACUGAACAUUGAGCCUUGAUGUGUAGGAUAGGUGGGAGGCUUUGAAGUGUGGACGCCAGUCUGCAUGGAGCCGACCUUGAAAUACCACCCUUUAAUGUUUGAUGUUCUAACGUUGACCCGUGAUCCGGGUUGCGGACAGUGUCUGGUGGGUAGUUUGACUGGGGCGGUCUCCUCCUAAAGAGUAACGGAGGAGCACGAAGGUUGGCUAAUCCUGGUCGGACAUCAGGAGGUUAGUGCAAUGGCAUAAGCCAGCUUGACUGCGAGCGUGACGGCGCGAGCAGGUGCGAAAGCAGGUCAUAGUGAUCCGGUGGUUCUGAAUGGAAGGGCCAUCGCUCAACGGAUAAAAGGUACUCCGGGGAUAACAGGCUGAUACCGCCCAAGAGUUCAUAUCGACGGCGGUGUUUGGCACCUCGAUGUCGGCUCAUCACAUCCUGGGGCUGAAGUAGGUCCCAAGGGUAUGGCUGUUCGCCAUUUAAAGUGGUACGCGAGCUGGGUUUAGAACGUCGUGAGACAGUUCGGUCCCUAUCUGCCGUGGGCGCUGGAGAACUGAGGGGGGCUGCUCCUAGUACGAGAGGACCGGAGUGGACGCAUCACUGGUGUUCGGGUUGUCAUGCCAAUGGCACUGCCCGGUAGCUAAAUGCGGAAGAGAUAAGUGCUGAAAGCAUCUAAGCACGAAACUUGCCCCGAGAUGAGUUCUCCCUGACUCCUUGAGAGUCCUGAAGGAACGUUGAAGACGACGACGUUGAUAGGCCGGGUGUGUAAGCGCAGCGAUGCGUUGAGCUAACCGGUACUAAUGAACCGUGAGG
RNAcentral lists this ribosomal RNA (1621 nucleotides) under Escherichia coli. Its description in RNAcentral is "partial 23S ribosomal RNA". It matches the Rfam family "Bacterial large subunit ribosomal RNA", at positions 1315 to 2915 of the family's 2925-position model. The record is from RNAcentral. Lineage: Bacteria; Pseudomonadati; Pseudomonadota; Gammaproteobacteria; Enterobacterales; Enterobacteriaceae.